Long non-coding RNA from Poecilia reticulata (guppy), 2153 nucleotides. RefSeq lists it as uncharacterized. The record is from RefSeq and is a predicted model, not a curated record. Lineage: Eukaryota; Metazoa; Chordata; Actinopteri; Cyprinodontiformes; Poeciliidae.
UUCAAAGGUUUCUAAAUACUUUUCCACGGCAUAGUMUGUUUUCAUAGGCUCCUAUAUUCUUUUUUGCAUAGAUAAACUCUAAACCUUUACUUGUUUUYCUGGUCCAUAAUUAUUUCCAUAAAUCACUGUGAGACAUAAAAAGAAAUGCUUUGCAUCCAUCUUGAAGCCCAUAAUGCCUCCAGAUAAAGACAGAAAUCCAGAUGUGUACCCCGCAUUUACUCUUUCCGUGCAUUUCAGCCACGGAAAAGGAAGCUGUCUAGGCUGAUGUUGUUUUCACAGAAAAGCGACUCGGGCAUACUGAGAGAUUAACUACAACCAGGUUGCCUUUCAUUCAGAAAGAGCUGACUGAAAGAGCUGGCGUUUACUGUGUGUGUGGGUGGGAAAUUACAGGGGGCUGCCUGUUUUUAAUCACGACCAUGACCGUGCAUUGAAUUUUGCCCGAUUUKAUGCUAUUUAUCUUUUUUUGUUGUUUACAUGCAUGUAAUGAAGUGUAGAUGGUUGCUGAAGUUGGAAUUUCUCAAUUUUUCCACUUCCCCCCUUGGAGAUUAAAUGUGGUGCAUAUGUGUAGUACUAGUUCUUCUAAGUGGAAAUGAGAAUUUCCCUCUCUACUUCCAGUCUUUUUCAGCAGGAGGCAUUUUAAUUCCCAAUGGGAGGGUUGUAUUCUCUGAAGAAGAAAAAAAAACAGGAAAAGACUGUUAUAGAGGUGCAAUGAUGGGAAAUUGAGGAAAGGAGGUAGAUGUAAAGUCUUCUCCCCUCCCCCUUCCUAUGCUUCCCCAUUGUCCUCCCUUCUUCAGGGUUUGAUGUCACUCAAAAUAAGCCAAUCGUACCUCGUGGACUUCCUAUUCGAGUCUUUGCUCCUCCUAUUCCCUCAGUCGUUUAAAUAUAUUCUGUGGCACUACUAUGUGCAGAGUGUACAAUGUGCUGUCGAAGAACCAGCAGCCUGUGUAGAGCGUUACCGCCAGAGAGGAAAGAAGAGAGGGGGGAACGCGCUGGUGCCUAGGAUCAGCGUUUCUGAUUCAGUUGGGAUUGGCUUGCUCCCACAGUUAAGAUGGGUUGCACAACGGAACAAUUUGCUUGCCAACCACAACCCCAGAUAAACUCUGGUCAGGAGAGUUUGUCUCUGGAGGCUGGUGGUGCUAAAGUCCCCGAAGUUCUCUCCUCCCUGGAGCGUCUGUCUCAAGCUACUGGAGGCAUGGAGAAGUCGUGGUACCGCUGCAUAUUUCCCUUCGGCAUCAUCUCGUUGGUCAUAGGGAUUGCAGGAACAGGGGUGACCUACACCUACAACGACUUGCCACAAACAAAAGUUGUAUCAGUGGUGCUACUUGUCAUGGGAGUUGUGCUACURCUGAUGGCGAGUGCUUGCUGGGUUCUUCACAAAAAGAAGAGAAGGAAAAAGAAAGAGGGAGAGUCUCUGACAUCUGAGCAGUGUCCCCUAUGAAGCACAUAAAGGAAAGCAAUUAGAAGAACGUAAAAACAGAGACUGGCCAAGAGUUUGUCUGUGCUCAAGGAAUAGCUGAAAAACCCGUCACAUUACUUUCAACCAAUGCCAAAUCYCCUCUUUUAUUUAUCACGGAGUUGAGAGACAGCUCCGGUAAAGAAAUUAGAAUCAAAGGACAGGCGUUGUUGUCUAGAGAAGGUUUUGGGAUCACAAUUCCUGAAACUCUCUUUGGUCAUCAGGCAGCAGGUACCUCUUGCCAAAACAACUAUGGCGGAGACACACAAAAACACACGGUUUGUGUGUUUACAAGCACGGAGAGACCCUUUGAGCUUUAAUGUGUUGACACCCAACACACUUUGCAGGACUGCUGCUGCCGUCAAGGAGAACGUCAGUCGCAGCAUUCCUCUCAUCGGGACAGGUGACUCUCCAAGAGGUUAGAAGUGGGCCAAAGACUGCAACCUGAUACCCAGCUGAAAGAGCAGCAUGCCCGUGUCACCCGCCAACGUCAUUCGCUCRUCCUGUGACACUGCAGCAAUGUGCGAGGGGCUUUUUAUACGCAACAGGAGAGUGGAACUUGAGUYCGCCAGUAUCUUUGCUGGCAUGUGUGCCGAUGGUGACCCGYGGAGGGCAGAGGACUGGUAAACUGGUCUCAGAUCAAUAUUUGKUUGAGGGAUUUCUUUAGAAAGUCCUGAGGAAAUUWAAAUUUUGCACACAU